GUGUAUAUAGAGAAAAUAACGCAGCUCGCUCAUUCGCUCGCUGCAAAGCCCGGCCAAGCGAUAUCAGUAAUACAUGUUCAGUAUAAGAAACGUAAGUAAUGAGAGAAAUUUGCGGGGGAUAACCCGUCAAUGUGUCAGUCGGUCAAGUGACGGGGGAUAAUCCGUCAGUCUGUCAGUCGGUCAAGUGACGGGGGAUAAUCCGUCAGUCAGUCAGUCAAGUCAGUCAAGAGUGGUGGAGGGAGGAUCCGUCAUUCAGUCAGUCGGUCAGUCAAGUCAGUCAAGAGUGGCGGAGGGAGGAUCCGUCAUUCAGUCAGUCGGUCAGUCAAGUCAGUCAAGAGUGGCGGAGGGAGGAUCCGUCAGUCUGUCAGUCAGUCAGUCAAGUCAGUCAAGAGUGGUGGAGGGAGGAUCCGUCAUUCAGUCAGUCGGUCAGUCAAGUCAGUCAAGAGUGGCGGAGGGAGGAUCCGUCAUUCAGUCAGUCGGUCAGUCAAGUCAGUCAAGAGUGGCGGAGGGAGGAUCCGUCAGUCGGUCAGUCAAUCAGUCAAAUCAGUCAAGAGUGGCGGAGGGAGGAUCCGUCAUUCAGUCAGUCAAAUCAGUCGUGAGUGGCGGAGGGAGGAUCCGUCACGCUGUCAGUCAGUCAGUCAAUCAGUCAGUUCGUUAUUUAAAGUGCCGGAUUGAGGAAACGUCAAGAAGUUGUUUAUUCAGAGUGUCGGAGGAUUGAUCCGUCACGAAGUUCGCUGUUAACGGAGGGAGCAUUCGUCGGGGUCUUGUACAAAGCCUUCUUCAGCAGGAGCAGCGUCGGGGCGCCACGCGUUGAGGCCGCCAGGGAUCAGUACUAGGCCGGAGAAGCACCCUCAAGCUAGUGCAGGGUCUCGCCUUCCCCUGUAGCGGCCCCGCGUGCCGAGUGCUGCUUGGACUAGAGGCCCUUCGCUCCCACGGCCCAGCACAGCCUCCUAGACAAAAGAGAAAACUUUUAGGAGUUUUGUCUAAGGAAAUAGAAAAACAUGAAGGUUUGUGACCGGAGCAUUAAGAGUUGUUUGUAGGUGGAAGUGGAGGCUUGCUGAACACGUCCUGUGGAAGACCCCUCCUCCUCUUCCUCCUUUUCAUCGAUCUCUUUUUCCUCUUCCUCCUCCUCCUCCUCCUCCUCCUCCUCCUGCUCCUCCUCUAUUUCCUUCAAACCUACCCUAACGCACGUACAGCCAGUGUUUUAAUCAACUCUGCAGGUCGAUCUGAUUAAACCAGUAAAGCGCACAGCCUCGUUAUGAGCAGACAGCCUUUCUGUUCCCUGCCUUUUUAUGUUACGAACAGAGUGGUGGAUGAGUGGAACAGGCUUGGCAGUCAUGUUGUGAGUGCCAAUACGAUAGACACAUUUGAUAAAAGAUUAAAUAAAUGCGUGGAUGGUGAUGUUAGGUGGGGUUAGUUUCACAGGAGCUGCCCUGCAUAAUCCUACCGGCCUCUUGCAGACUCCUUACGUUCUUAUGUUCUAGUAAAAAC
Molecule: long non-coding RNA, 1491 nt
Organism: Eriocheir sinensis (Chinese mitten crab)
Lineage: Eukaryota; Metazoa; Arthropoda; Malacostraca; Decapoda; Varunidae
Exons: 3
Source: RefSeq, a predicted model, not a curated record